Molecule: ribosomal RNA, 2071 nt
Filed under: Pseudomonadota bacterium
Lineage: Bacteria; Pseudomonadati; Pseudomonadota
Description: Proteobacteria bacterium (freshwater metagenome) partial 23S ribosomal RNA
Rfam family: Bacterial large subunit ribosomal RNA
Source: RNAcentral
GCCAAGUAAGGGCAGGCGGUGGAUGCCUUGGCGCGGAGUGCCGAUGAAGGACGGUGCAGGCCACGAUAGGCUCUGGGGAGGCGCCAACAGCCGGUGAUCCAGAGAUUUCCGAAUGGGGAAACCCACGUGCGGUCAUGCGCACGUAUCCCGCACUGCGGGAAGGGCACCGGGGGAACUGAAACAUCUAAGUACCCCGAGGAGAAGAAAUCACCGAGAGACCGGUAGUAGUGGCGAGCGAACGCGGUCGAGUCCAAACCGAGCGACGCUUAACGGAUUUGCGUCCUAUGCCCGCUCGGGGUUGUACGGCCUUGCUUGGAGACGCGCAAACGGCUCCGCCAUGAUCACGCACGCUGACGGGAAUGACCUGGAAAGGUCGGCCGGAGGGAGUGAAAGCCUCGUACUGGAAGGCGUGCGUACGGGUUGCAGGGAUCGUGAGUACCACGGGGGAAGAGUAUCCCCGUGGGAAGCUGGGGCGACCACGCUCCAAGACUAGGGUACGCUCCGCGACCGAUAGUGAACGAGUACCGUGAGGGAAAGGUGAAAAGCACCCCGGUGAGGGGAGUGAAAUAGUCCCUGAAACCGUCUGCCUACAGUCAGUACGAGGGCGGUGUCCGCAAGGACUGCCUGAGUGCGUGCCUCUUGAAGAAUGAGCCGGCGAGUGAAUUGGCGUCGCAGGUUAAGGGCGGUGAACGUCCGGAGCCGAAGCGAAAGCGAGUGCGAAUAGCGCGUCUUGGUGGCGUCAAUUCGACCCGAAACCAGGUGAGCUACCCAUGGGCAGUGUGAAGGCUCGGUAACACGAGCUGGAGGCGCGGACCCACCAAUGUUGCAAAAUUGGGGGAUGACCUGUGGGUAGAGGAGAAAUUCCAAUCGAACCUGGAGAUAGCUGGUUCUCCCCGAAAUGGAUUGAGGUUCAGCCCGGUGCGAUCCGCUCGUAGGAGGUAGGGAACUGGAUGGGUGCGGGCCUUUAGCGGGUACCAAAUCCAAUCAAACCGCGAAUGCCUACGUGCGCAAUCCGGAGUGAGACGGCGGGUGCGAAGAUUCGUCGUCGAGAGGGAAACAGCCCAGACCGCCAGCUAAGGGCCCUAAGUGAAGGCUAUAGUGGUAAAGGAAGUCAGUGGUUCACAGACAACCAGGAGGUUGGCUUAGAAGCAGCCACCCUUGAAAGAGUGCGUAAUAGCUCACUGGUCGAGUGCCCUGGCGCCGACAAUGUAACGGGGCUAAGCCUUCUCCCGAAGCUGCGGGUGCAGUUUUUACUGCGCGGUAGGGGAGCGUUCCACGGGCGUUGAAGGUAGAUCGUGAGGACUGCUGGAGCGCGUGGAAGUGCGAAUGCCGGCAUGAGUAGCGCAUUGACCGUGCGAACCGGUCACACCGAAAGCCUAAGGGUUCCUGAGGACGGUCCAUCCACUCAGGGUUAGCCGGGCCUAAGCCGAGUCUGGUGUAGUGCCAGGGUAGGCGAUGGACAACGGGUUGAUAGUCCCGUGCCACCAGAAGAUCGUUAUUACCGACGCGGGGACCCGGGAGGUACCUGCUCGCGAAUCGAUGGCUUGUUCGUGUAAGCCUGUGACGUGCUGGGGAGUGAAGUCCUUCCCGGCUGACGGUUCUGACCGUCGACGUGAGAGGGGAUGCCGAGUCUGCGGCUUCGGCCAAGGGCAAGGAGCAGCGAGCCAUACCGGCAAGAAAAGCCGCUAGGGAGAACUUCUGGUGCCCGUACCGCAAACCGACGCAGGUGGGCUGGGAUGAAUGUCCCGAGGUGAACGGGAGACCCUCAGCGAAGGAACUCGGCAAAUUGGCCCCGUACCUUCGGAAGAAGGGGCACCACUUGGUGUGUAGGCCCUCGCGGCUCGAAGCACCUGGGUGGUCGCAGGGAACCGGCUCAACCGACUGUUUACCAAAAACACAGGUCUCCGCGAAGUCGCAAGACACCGUAUGGGGGCUGACGCCUGCCCGGUGCCAGAAGGUUAAGGGGAGGGGUUUACGCUCUGAACCGAAGCCCUGGUGAACGGCGGCGAUAACUAUAAUCGUCCUAAGGUAGCGAAAUUCCUUGUCGGGUAAGUUCCGACCCGCACGAAUG